GGGGCAUGUCAUUAGGGAGGCUUGGCAGUCCUCUUUCUCUAUCUUAAAAGGCUAGUGCUGUUGCAUAGCUUCCUAGUGGUUAGGAUGAUAGGAGGGAUGAUCAGCUCUCAAAGUGCGGAAGGGGAGUUGAUUCUACUACAAUUGGUAUAUAGCUGUGAUUGGCUCCACAGAUUUCUGAGCAUUGGCCA
Molecule: long non-coding RNA, 188 nt
Organism: Calypte anna (Anna's hummingbird)
Lineage: Eukaryota; Metazoa; Chordata; Aves; Apodiformes; Trochilidae
Exons: 2
Source: RefSeq, a predicted model, not a curated record